RNAcentral lists this ribosomal RNA (253 nucleotides) under uncultured bacterium. RNAcentral's name for it is "partial 16S ribosomal RNA". It matches the Rfam family "Bacterial small subunit ribosomal RNA", at positions 524 to 776 of the family's 1533-position model. The record is from RNAcentral.
UACAGAGGUCUCAAGCGUUGUUCGGAUUCAUUGGGCGUAAAGGGUGCGUAGGCGGCGGGGAAAGUCUGAUGUGAAAUCCUGGGGCUCAACCCUGGAACUGCAUUGGAUACUUCCUUGCUAGAGUACUGGAGAGGAAACUGGAAUUUACGGUGUAGCGGUGAAAUGCGUAGAGAUCGUAAGGAAGACCAGUGGCGAAGGCGAGUUUCUGGACAGUUACUGACGCUGAGGCACGAAGGCCAGGGGAGCAAACGGG